Molecule: signal recognition particle RNA, 99 nt
Filed under: Clostridia bacterium
Lineage: Bacteria; Bacillati; Bacillota; Clostridia
Description: signal recognition particle sRNA small type
Rfam family: Bacterial small signal recognition particle RNA
About the family: The signal recognition particle (SRP) is a universally conserved ribonucleoprotein involved in the co-translational targeting of proteins to membranes. Archaeal SRP consists of a 7S RNA and homologues of the eukaryotic SRP19 and SRP54 proteins. In most bacteria, the SRP consists of a 4.5S RNA and the Ffh protein (a homologue of the eukaryotic SRP54 protein).
Source: RNAcentral
AAGCGGGUCUUGCGUGACUUUGCCUUGUGAACCAUGUCAGGCAGGAAACUGAGCAGCAUUAAGCAAACGGCGAGGUGCACAGCAAGGAACCCGCUUCUU